UACGAAGGGGGCUAGCGUUGUUCGGAAUUACUGGGCGUAAAGGGCGCGUAGGCUGUGCUGUAAGUCAGGCGUGAAAGCCCCGGGCUCAACCUGGGAAUUGCGUUUGAUACUGCGGCGCUGGAAGGUGGGAGAGGAUGGCGGAAUUCCCAGUGUAGAGGUGAAAUUCGUAGAUAUUGGGAAGAACACCGGUGGCGAAGGCGGCCAUCUGGCCCACAUUUGACGCUGAGGCGCGAAAGCGUGGGGAGCAAACAGG
This 253-nucleotide ribosomal RNA is filed under the name uncultured bacterium. RNAcentral's name for it is "partial 16S ribosomal RNA". It matches the Rfam family "Bacterial small subunit ribosomal RNA", at positions 524 to 776 of the family's 1533-position model. The record is from RNAcentral.